CCGUAAGGCUGGGCUGUGAUGGGGCGGGAAAUUUUAGUACCGAAGGUCAUGAGUUCAGGCUGCCAAGAAAAGCCUCUAGCCAGGGAGAAGGUGCCCGUACCGCAAACCGACACAGGUAGGCGAGCAGAGCAUGCUAAGGCGCUCGGAAGAACUCUCGUUAAGGAACUCGGCAAAAUGACCCCGUAACUUCGGGAGAAGGGGUGCCUCGGUAGGGUGAAUAGCCCGAGGGGGCCGCAGUGAAAAGGCCCAAGCGACUGUUUAGCAAAAACACAGGUCUGUGCGAAGCCGCAAGGCGAAGUAUACGGGCUGACGCCUGCCCGGUGCUGGAAGGUUAAGGGGAGCGGUUAGGGGCAACCCGAAGCUGUGAACCGAAGCCCCAGUAAACGGCGGCCGUAACUAUAACGGUCCUAAGGUAGCGAAAUUCCUUGUCGGGUAAAUUCUGACCCGCACGAAUGGCGUAACGACUUGGGCGCUGUCUCGACGAGAGAUCCGGUGAAAUUUUAAUA
RNAcentral lists this ribosomal RNA (506 nucleotides) under Streptomyces globisporus. Its description in RNAcentral is "partial 23S ribosomal RNA". It matches the Rfam family "Bacterial large subunit ribosomal RNA", at positions 1548 to 2049 of the family's 2925-position model. The record is from RNAcentral. Lineage: Bacteria; Bacillati; Actinomycetota; Actinomycetes; Kitasatosporales; Streptomycetaceae.